CAAAUUUUAUUGUAUGAUGGGUUUAGCUUGCUGCAGUGGGCAGAUUCUGUAGACCAGCCUAUUAGAGGGGCACAGAAUCCGACUAUAUAUGUACCUCGGUCAGAGAGACGUGUAGGGUAUCUCUUGAGGUAUGGUUAGAGGUCACGUCACGCCGAACCACCUCGUAAUGAUGAACUCCACUAACGCCAAGGAACGACUGUAUUUUCAAAAUAAAAAUAUGCUUUAUGCGUACAUUACUUUUUAACAGCCUUGGUGGAUUCGGUUGGGAUAGCUCCAGGCCAAGGUAUCCUUGACAACAGAGUAUGAGAAUGAUUUUGGCACAAGCCAAGUUUUCAAGAAAGUCAUAAGCCAUGUUGUUUAUUUUUGACAAAAAUGUAAUGGUUUUAUAUGAGUUGAAAUAAGUUUUAAUAUUAUGAAUUAUAUUUCUCUGCAUGGUGAAAAAGAAAUUAAACGGUUUUUCGCAGUUCCCUUAUAUGUUUAUCUAUGAAAUAAAUCUGUAAUUCCUCACAUAUGGGGCGAGUUAUGAUUUGGGCAUGAUUUUAAAUAUUAUUUGGUUUCGCGGGAGCUUGCUAAAUUUUAUUGAUUUGAUUUGAAAAUGAUUAUUAAUAUAUUUUGAUGUGAAAAAAUUUUAUUACCUCGAUUAUUUAUACUUUAUAAGAAAUUCUCAAUUUUUAUAUAAGGCACAAAUCUCCGUUUGAAACGAAUUGUUUUUAUAAUCUAUAAUUUUAUAUUAAACUGAUCUGUCAUUUACUUGUUUCCCAUCUACGUCCUACUCGCUGAGUUGAUGAUUAUCACGGAGUCGAUGAGACUCACACCCCUUUAUUUCCCCUUUUGCAGAUAGGGAUCAACCUAGCAUGUAGUUAGUGACGCACUCGGUCCACCGUGAAUAGGUAAAGGCAUCUCCUAGCAUUUUAUUUCGAGUCACUCUGCUGUUAGAGGUCAAGUCGUAGCAUUUUAUUUAUUAAGUUGUAAACAAAUUCUAAAUUUUUAUAUAAGCAUUAAUUUGGAGAUUAUAGAUUUUAAUACAUAUACUUACGAAUAAAAAGGAAAAAGUUUGUAUUGAUUUUUA
RNAcentral lists this long non-coding RNA (1069 nucleotides) under Theobroma cacao (cacao). RNAcentral's name for it is "long non-coding RNA (TCAC_LNC002989)". The record is from RNAcentral. Lineage: Eukaryota; Viridiplantae; Streptophyta; Magnoliopsida; Malvales; Malvaceae.